RNAcentral lists this long non-coding RNA (218 nucleotides) under Trifolium pratense (red clover). Its description in RNAcentral is "long non-coding RNA (TPRA_LNC013984)". The record is from RNAcentral. Lineage: Eukaryota; Viridiplantae; Streptophyta; Magnoliopsida; Fabales; Fabaceae.
UUGAAAUUUGAUGAUGUCCUCUAUUUCUUCUCCGAUUGCAGUGUAAGUUAAAUUUCAACACUCUAAUUUAGUUCCCUGGGGAUUCUUCAACCAUGCCCUUAAUUAAAUAACAUUGGGAUUUUACUGGGGAGGACACAAAAUAAGAUUUUACUUACUCUUUUUCAUUGAUCUAUUACAAAGUUUUCUUUUUUCUGAAUUUUUUAUUGUUUUCUUUAAGG